Long non-coding RNA from Astatotilapia calliptera (eastern happy), 3819 nucleotides. Lineage: Eukaryota; Metazoa; Chordata; Actinopteri; Cichliformes; Cichlidae. The record is from Ensembl.
GAGACAAAACGAAACAGCAGUGUUUGUAGUGUGGGCUAUAAGUAGACCAGUGUAUCAGUGCAAUCAAGUACACCUGCCUCUAAUUAGUCCAACCUGAUUCGAGCCAUUGGCUAACCAAAAAUGUGACACACACAACGCCACUCCCAACCCAGUGCAACUUCACACAAUAAUAUGGAGCUGAAUUAACACAGGCACAUUAGUCUACCAUAUUACAAGCUGCAUGCUAUUAAAAGCCAACAUAUGCAGACUUCUGCCUUGUUCGGGUGGCAGCAUUUUUUUUUUUUCUUUUUUCUUUUGUGUCCUGACACGUUUAUGUUUUAUGUUUUUGUUUGAUUAUUUUGUUGAUUUUGGAAACGAAUUUAAACGAACUUGUGACAAUACUUGAGAAUCACAGUGACACAUGGUGAUUAGGCAUAUGAUUGAAAAAUGCCUAGGUUUAGAGCUGUGAGCUAUGAGCUAUGAAAAAUGCAAAGUUAAAUAUAUAUAUAUAUUUGUAUAAAUGGAAAACAACCUUAUCUUGAAAGUUUGAAAUGUGUGAGAUCCAUGAAUUGUUUGAAGAACUAGAACCGUGGAGAGGAAGGUCACUUCACACGAGAUUGUAGGGGUAGGCCACAGAGAAAUAAUGCAAAACAGUUCUGAGGCAGCCACUUACAGUUUUCAAAGGACAAAUUAGUUGUAAAGUCAGCUUCAGGCCACACAACUGUACAACAAUUAACUGCCCCUUUAGAACUAGUACAUACAGCAAGUGGCCGCAGGUGCUUUAUUAAAUGCAUAUAUGACCCGUCGUGUCCAGUAAAGUUGUUAAGUAGAGACGCUCUGACAAAACUUAAGAUAGCAGUCAUGCCAUUCUUUUCUGGUAUUACACCUGAGUGCAUACUAAAUGACACCCGCCACAUCCACUUUCCAGAAACUGACCGAGUAUCACAACAUUCUGCGAUUUAAACAAACCCCAGGCCCAGAUCCACCUUAUGAUCAGCAAGUGUGGAAGCUAGGAGAACAGCAUUUGACCUUACAGCACAGGCCUAAAUUGUGUAGGUUACGCAGUAACAACAGAUAGUAAAAUAAUAGAAGCAAAACCGUUUUCUUCUUCAUGUUCUGCACAGAGCGCUGAGCUGAUAGCUGUGAUACGCGAAAGCUAAAUACAAAAAGACAAACUAAUAAACAUACAUACAGACAGCCAGUAUGUUUUCUCUGCUGUGCAUCAUUUUGCAAAAAAUUUGGCAUAAACUGACUCUUUCAUUACUACAGGCAACAAUUUUGCAGACAGAGCAGCAAAACAGGCGGCACAAAAGACAAACAUAACAUUGAUGGCAGUAAACACACAUCAGAUUUCACUGGAUGUGUUGCAAAAUGAACAAAAAGCAGCAAGCACAGCAGAGCAGGCAAAAUGGCUAAAACACGGUGCAGUUCUGACAAACAACUUAAUGAUGUGUUAUGGCAAGCCAGUGUUGCCAAAAAUUCCUCCACGAAAUGGCGGCAUUAGUGACUCAUGGCUGUACGCAUUUGUCAACGGGGGGAAUGCCCUGUAUUGUCAACUCUCAUUUCUACACUAUAAAUUUUGAAACCUCAGCAAAACAAUUUGUCAGAACAUGCAUGACCUGUCGAAAAUAUAAUGCUCAGGGAAACCUGAGACCACACAAUCCAUAUGGACUUUAUUGAGCUAAAGGAAUGCCAAGGGUAAAAAUACGCCCUAGUGGUUAUAGAUGUAUUCUCAAAGUGGCCAGAAAUCUACCCAGUGAAAAAGGCAGAUAUAAUUUCAGUAGCAAAAUGUAUGUCUAAGUUGUAGGAAAAUAAAGAGAUGAUUGUAAAUGACGAAGAAUGUAAUGAUGUCUAUCAAGUGUCUUGCAGAUCACAGCCCGGUGACUGGGUUAUGAUCAAAGUGCUCCAAAGGAAAAACUGGAGCUUGCAAAAUAGCGGAACGACCAUCUUGCAUCCAUCAGAGUCACUGCAGGCGAGUAAGUGAAGCCAUCUAAACACAGCUGACAGCAGGCGUGCCCACUUGUUGUGAUCUCGCCCGGUGGAGGGGUCAGCUUUCCUGGCCGGGGGGAACUAUUCGCGACAGGAGGGUGUGUCCCGUCGUCAUGCGGUGGUGGCUUUUGAUAACUGCAGCGGCCCUGACCGUGGCCGGGCUCCUCAUCUUUGCUUCCGUGAGGGACAAUAAGUCACGCUAUAUGAAGAAAAGGCAGACACUGUAUGACAAAGGAAAGUACACCAAGUUUCCCCAUGGCUAUGCCACUAAUUUCUGGUGGCAGUUUAUGAACACUACAGCUUACUGGAAUAAUAAAACUGACUGCUAUGCAUGUACCCGGAAAGUACACCAAGUUUAUGAACACUACAGCUUACUGGAAUAAUAAAACUGACUGCUAUGCAAAUACAUACACACUUUCUGCCCACCGAGGAACGAGAGGAAGUGUAUGGACUGUUCACUCAACGAAACCUGUGCCAGUAACGCGACACUGAUGAGCCUCAACUGUCGCUCCAACUACAGCUACCAAAUGAUACUACAAACAAAGACUCAUUACCAGACAGGAUGUGCACGGACGGCACCAAGCAGUAAAGGAACCAGAGUUUCGCAUCUGAGGAGGAGUGAAAUUCUUACAGAGCUUGAUCCCCGGCAUUGGAGCUGCCGAGGUGCGGGAUCACGUGGAAAUCAACCGAUAUGCUCUGCUACGACGCAUCAACUUUGACAAAGACCCUGGGACCGGCUUUAGCAGGAGAACAGAAGGCCAUCAGAACGAUGGUGUUGCAGAACAGACUGACACUAGACCUGCUAACAGCAUCACAAGGAGGAGUAUGUAAGCGGAGACACUUAUGAAGCUUUGCAGAAUUUGACCAUUCUGCAGAAAUAUGUCACUGACCACACAUCUGGAGCAGCUACACCGCCAUGUCUAAGACUAAUUAUUUCAAAGAUGAUAACAACUACAAUGACUGCUUAUGUUGCCCUGCCUCAAGAAGAACAGCAUCCCGUUGCAAUUCUGUUAGAGGAGAACUUGUAAUAACUGCUAAUGACUGACGUGGUGAUUAAAUAUGACUUGUCAAGUGAUCACGCACUGAUUAACACAUUAGUAGUUUAUGCAGGUUUUCAUCAUUUUACCUAUAAGGUUUUCAUUCUUUUAUUUUUUGAAGUUUUCAUUUUAAAUAUUAGGUUUUCAUCAUUUUUAAAUACCAAGCUAUGAUUUUCUUUGUUCUUUUUAUUAUUUUAUUUUGUUUUAUUCUUUAGACCAAAUGAUUUCCAUAUCUGCUUUGCUGACAUUUUGAAAAUUAAAAAAAUGGCUUAAUAUACUUAAUAAAUAACCUUCACAGACAAUUGUUGUAUACAUUUUAAACAUGUGAAAUAUAUUAACAUCAGGAGGGAAUGUCAGAGGAUUUUUAUUAAAUACAAAUCAUUGAGUGUAAUCAAGUAAAAACAAAUAUGCUUUUUAUUCAAAUGCAAUAUAACCAAGUAUGCCUUAUAACCGAGUGUUCAUAUAUUUUCACAUAACCAAGCUUAUUGUUAAAAGAGAACACAAUGCAUUCCUUGCUUAAGUGUUUAAGAUGUUUUGACAAGACAUGAUAUAUUUCUGUAUCCUUACUUUAAGCGUGAAAGAUCAGAUAAGCAUGAUAUAUUUCUGUAUUCUUAUUUUAGUGUGUGAAAGAUCAGAUAAGCUGACUCUAUGUCUGAACUUUAUGUCUGAACUUUAUGUCUGAACUCUCCUCUUUUCUGGUAAAAGAGGAAGUACUGUUACCCAUUUUUUGCCUUAUAAAUAAAGCAAGCAGCCUGUACUCGGUGUGUCUGUCUUCUCAGAGGCAUUCACCCGUGUACACGUUCUUAAACUCUGA